RNAcentral lists this ribosomal RNA (442 nucleotides) under uncultured bacterium. RNAcentral describes it as "partial 16S ribosomal RNA". It matches the Rfam family "Bacterial small subunit ribosomal RNA", at positions 338 to 795 of the family's 1533-position model. The record is from RNAcentral.
CCUACGGGAGGCUGCAGUGAGGAAUAUUGGUCAAUGGACGCAAGUCUGACCCAGCCACGCCGCGUGAAGGAAGACGGCUCUCGGGUUUUUAACUUCUUUUAAGGGGGAAGUAAAGAGGGCGGUACCCCUUGAAUAAGCCACGGCUAACUAAGAACCAGCAGCCGCGGUAAUACGGAGGUGGCAAGCGUUAUCCGGAUUUACUGGGUGUAACGGGCGUGCAGAUGGGAAGAUAAGUCAGAUGUGAAAGUCCGCGGCUCAACCGUGGAACUGCAUUUGAAACUGUUUGUCUUGAGUAUAGGAGAGGUAAGCGGAAUUCGUGGUGUAGCGGUGAAAUGCGUAGAUAUCAGGAAGAACCCCGGUGGCGAAGGCAGAUUACUGGACUGCGACUGACGGUGAGGCGCGAAAGCGUGGGGAUCAAACAGGAUUAGAUACCCCAGUAGUC